UCCGGUUUGGCACCGGCAGUCCUCCCAGAGUCCUCGACUUGACUCGCUAGCAACUGGGAGCGGGGGUUGCGCUCGUUGCGGGACUUAACCCAACAUCUCACGACACGAGCUGACGACAGCCAUGCACCACCUGUGCACCGGUCCCGAAGGAGGGCCGUAUUUCUACGGAUUUCCGGUGCAUGUCAAGCCCUGGUAAGGUUCUUCGCGUUGCAUCGAAUUAAUCCACAUAAUCCACCGCUUGUGCGGGUCCCCGUCAAUUCCUUUGAGUUUUAACCUUGCGGCCGUACUCCCCAGGCGGUCAACUUCACGCGUUAGCUUCGUUACCAAGGAAUUGCUUCCCCGACAACCAGUUGACAUAGUUUGGGGCGUGGACUAC
RNAcentral lists this unclassified non-coding RNA (376 nucleotides) under uncultured bacterium. RNAcentral's name for it is "contains 16S-23S intergenic spacer region". The record is from RNAcentral.